GAUGAACGCUGGCGGCGUGCCUAAUACAUGCAAGUCGAGCGAACGGACGAGAAGCUUGCUUCUCUGAUGUUAGCGGCGGACGGGUGAGUAACACGUGGAUAACCUACCUAUAAGACUGGGAUAACUUCGGGAAACCGGAGCUAAUACCGGAUAAUAUUUUGAACCGCAUGGUUCAAAAGUGAAAGACGGUCUUGCUGUCACUUAUAGAUGGAUCCGCGCUGCAUUAGCUAGUUGGUAAGGUAACGGCUUACCAAGGCAACGAUGCAUAGCCGACCUGAGAGGGUGCUCGGCCACACUGGAACUGAGACACGGUCCAGACUCCUACGGGAGGCAGCAGUAGGGAAUCUUCCGCAAUGGGCGAAAGCCUGACGGAGCAACGCCGCGUGAGUGAUGAAGGUCUUCGGAUCGUAAAACUCUGUUAUUAGGGAAGAACAUAUGUGUAAGUAACUGUGCACAUCUUGACGGUACCUAAUCAGAAAGCCACGGCUAACUACGUG
RNAcentral lists this ribosomal RNA (497 nucleotides) under uncultured bacterium. RNAcentral describes it as "partial 16S ribosomal RNA". It matches the Rfam family "Bacterial small subunit ribosomal RNA", at positions 28 to 507 of the family's 1533-position model. The record is from RNAcentral.